Molecule: transfer-messenger RNA, 330 nt
Filed under: Guillardia theta
Lineage: Eukaryota; Cryptophyceae; Pyrenomonadales; Geminigeraceae
Description: transfer-messenger RNA Guill_theta
Rfam family: transfer-messenger RNA
About the family: Bacterial tmRNA, also known as 10Sa RNA or SsrA, is named for its dual tRNA and mRNA-like properties. Its role is to liberate the mRNA from a stalled ribosome.
Source: RNAcentral
GGGGCUGAUUUGGAUUCGACAUAUAAAUUUGCGUGUUUCAUUAUGAAGCAAGUCAAGUUUAAUGAUCUUGUAAAAAACAUUAAAGUACAAAUAAAUGCAAGCAAUAUAGUUUCAUUUAGUUCAAAACGUUUAGUCUCUUUUGCAUAAGCAAAAUGUGUUAAUAACUUUCUUAGUAGAAAUUGGAGAAGUUUACUAAGAUUUAUAUUUACUCCAUAAUUAUUUUAAAGAUGGUAAAAAGGUGAUUCAUCAUUUGUAUGUUUCUAAACUUUGUGAAAGAAUAGUGGGCUCCAUUUAUAAUGAACGUGGGUUCAAAUCCCACCAGCUCCACCA